ACAAGGAAAUAUAUGUAAAUACAUUCUGCUGAUUGCCUUCAGUGAUGAUAGCAAUAGAAUGUUGACUAUUCAGAAAUUAAUGUAUUCCAGCUUAAACUAAGACCUUCAGACAUAACCUUUCUAGCGCAAACCAACCAAGAUAGCAGGCAAUUUGCAACUGGGGAAUAUGCCAUUUCUCAUGUUAAGAUACUGUUCAGAGAAGAACAAACCAAUUAGACAAGAUCCUCAGACUAGGGUCCCAGAGAAGUCAGUUUAAAUUCUAUUUAUAAGACUCAUCAUUAAUCCUUAGAUAAGUCACUUGAUCUUUCUGUGCCAAUACCUGCCAACAGAAUAUUGAGAAUAAGAUGACCUGGCACUUGGUAUGUAGAGUAUAGGCACCACUGACCAACAGAACUUUCUGUAAUGAUGGAGGCGUUCUAAAUUUGCACUAACCGCUACAGCCACUGGCCACAUGUAGCUAUUGAGUACUUAAAAUAUGGCUAGUGUGAUUGAGGAACUGAAUUAAUUUACUUUUAAUUCAGUUAAAUUUAAUUAUUUUAUUUAUUUAUUUAU
This 552-nucleotide long non-coding RNA is filed under the name Homo sapiens (human). Its description in RNAcentral is "HSALNT0021346". The record is from RNAcentral. Lineage: Eukaryota; Metazoa; Chordata; Mammalia; Primates; Hominidae.